RNAcentral lists this ribosomal RNA (253 nucleotides) under uncultured prokaryote. RNAcentral describes it as "partial 16S ribosomal RNA". It matches the Rfam family "Bacterial small subunit ribosomal RNA", at positions 524 to 776 of the family's 1533-position model. The record is from RNAcentral.
UACAGAGGUCUCAACCGUUGUUCGGAUUUAUUGGGCGUAAAGGGUGCGUAGGCGGUCGCGUAAGUCGGAUGUGAAAUCCCGGGGCUCAACCCCGGAACUGCAUUCGAUACUGCGUGGCUAGGGUACUGGAGAGGAGACUGGAAUUUACGGUGUAGCAGUGAAAUGCGUAGAUAUCGUAAGGAAGACCAGGGGCGAAGGCGAGUCUCUGGACAGUUCCUGACACUGAGGCACGAAGGCCAGGGGAGCAAACGGG